Molecule: ribosomal RNA, 465 nt
Filed under: uncultured bacterium
Lineage: Bacteria
Description: partial 16S ribosomal RNA
Rfam family: Bacterial small subunit ribosomal RNA
Source: RNAcentral
GACGAACGCUGGCGGCGUGCUUAACACAUGCCAGUCGAACGGAAAGGCCCUGCUUGCAGGGUACUCGAGUGGCGAACGGGUGAGUAACACGUGGGUGAUCUGCCCUGCACUUCGGGAUAAGCCUGGGAAACUGGGUCUAAUACCGGAUAGGAGCCAUUUUUAGUGUGAUGGUUGGAAAGUUUUUUCGGUGUAGGAUGAGCUCGCGGCCUAUCAGCUUGUUGGUGGGGUAAUGGCCUACCAAGGCGGCGACGGGUAGCCGGCCUGAGAGGGUGGACGGCCACAUUGGGACUGAGAUACGGCCCAGACUCCUACGGGAGGCAGCAGUGGGGAAUAUUGCACAAUGGGCGCAAGCCUGAUGCAGCGACGCCGCGUGGGGGGUGACGGCCUUCGGGUUGUAAACUCCUUUCGCUAGGGACGAAGCUUUUUGUGACGGUACCUAGAUAAGAAGCACCGGCUAACUACGUG